This 292-nucleotide small RNA is filed under the name Pelobates cultripes (western spadefoot toad). Lineage: Eukaryota; Metazoa; Chordata; Amphibia; Anura; Pelobatidae. The record is from RNAcentral.
GUGACUGGUGACAGAGUGAGGGAGUGGGUGACUAGUGACAGAGGGAGGGAGAGGGGGUGACUAGUGACAGAGUUAGGGAAUGGGUGACUAUUGGCAAAGUGAGGGAGGGAAGAGGUGACUAGUGACCGAGUGAGGGAGGGGGUGACUGUCACUAGUCACCCCAUCCCUCUCUCUGUCACUAGUCACUUCCUCCCUAACUCUGUCACUGUGUCACCCGCUCCCUCACUCUGUCACUAGUCACCCCCUCACUCUGUCACUGUGUCACCCCCUCCCUCCCUCUGUCACUAGUCAC